UACGUAGGGGCCGAGCGUUGUCCGGAGUACUGGGCGUAAAGCGCGCGCAGGCGGCUCGUCAAGCAUGGCGUGAAAGCCCCCGGCUCAACCGGGGAGAGUCGUCGUGGACUGGCGGGCUUGAGGGCGGUAGGGGUUGGUGGAAUUCCCGGUGUAGUGGUGAAAUGCGUAGAGAUCGGGAGGAACACCCGUGGCGAAGGCGGCCAACUGGGCCGACCCUGACGCUGAGGCGCGAAGGCGUGGGGAGC
This 245-nucleotide ribosomal RNA is filed under the name uncultured bacterium. RNAcentral's name for it is "partial 16S ribosomal RNA". It matches the Rfam family "Bacterial small subunit ribosomal RNA", at positions 524 to 769 of the family's 1533-position model. The record is from RNAcentral.